GGGGUGCCCGUCGUUACUCGGUGGCGUGUGGUGGCAAGUUGGCUUGUGUAGCCACUUCUCCGACGAGUGUGUUUUAAUUAAGUCAGCUUGAGUGGUCCAUAUUCACUGGCAAGGCUGUUGUAGCGAGCUCUGACGCUGGGUGCUCGGUGGGAAUCAGCUGGAGCCGUAGCCAAGCCUCUCAUAAGCUCAAUUCAUGACCUGCGGUCCCAGAGAGGGGAUUCAUCGCCACUUGUCGUGUGGGAAGUGGAUUACAGCCAAGUGCCUCCACGCCUUGGAAAGGCUGCUGUUCUGUUGUGCUGUGGAUUUGUGGAUGACGUUUUCAUACGGUCGGGAUUGAACGGCGUGCCUAGUUUGGUUGGGGACUAUUUGUAGUUUACAACGCAUGGGGCUACGCAGUGGUGUAUUGCCCUCUCUAUAGCUCUACCUGCAUGCCUACGUCUGGUUGUUGUUUUCUUUGAUUUGGCGGCUAUACGGUGUGUUGUCCCGUCCUUUUGCUUGAGUUGCAUGUUUAUUCUGUGUUGUUUUCUUUGAUUUGGCUCCUAUCGCCGGCUAUACCUGGUGUGUUGUCUUUUUUUGUUUAACCUGCAUGUUUAUUUUGUUUGUUGUUUUCUUUGAUUUGGUGCAUGCGGUUAUGCAGUGCUGUACUGUUUCUCCCUAUGCUUGACUCGCAUGCUUUUUCUAACUGUUGGCCUAUUGGUAUCUUGGUGUGUGUGUGUGUGUGUUUGUGUAUGCGUACUGUAACUUAAAUUACUG
Long non-coding RNA from Alosa alosa (allis shad), 753 nucleotides. RefSeq lists it as uncharacterized. NCBI's taxonomy places the organism in Eukaryota, Metazoa, Chordata, Actinopteri, Clupeiformes, Clupeidae. The record is from RefSeq and is a predicted model, not a curated record. The transcript has 4 exons.